UCUGAAUCUGCGUACGGCUCCGCAAACCAGUUGUAAACUAUAGCAAGCAGGCUCGGGGUCGGCUCUCACGGGCUGGCUUCGGGCGAUAUGGAUAACCCUGGUAAUUCUGAGGCUAAUACAUGAACGUAAAACCUGGUUGACUGGGCUUCGGUCUGGGAGGCUGGGGGAUGUGUGAUUGCAGGCUUGGGUAACACCGGGAAAGGGCGCACGUCCAGACCGCGCUAUAAAGGAUGGGACCUCUUCGGGGGACCCGCCCCAGCGGCUCUUGCUGUGUGCUUCUGACCUAUCAACUAGACGGCAGCGUAAGGGACAUGCUAUGGU
RNAcentral lists this ribosomal RNA (321 nucleotides) under Lamproderma ovoideum. RNAcentral's name for it is "bacterial SSU rRNA". It matches the Rfam family "Eukaryotic small subunit ribosomal RNA", at positions 80 to 350 of the family's 1831-position model. The record is from RNAcentral. Lineage: Eukaryota; Evosea; Eumycetozoa; Stemonitida; Stemonitidae.